GCGUAACGCGUAUGCAACCUACCUUGAUCAGGGGGAUAGCCCGAAGAAAUUCGGAUUAACACCGCAUAAGAACAUAGAGUGGCAUCACUUAGUGUUUAAAUAUUUAUAGGAUCAAGAUGGGCAUGCGUGACAUUAGCUAGUUGGUGAGGUAACGGCUCACCAAGGCGACGAUGUCUAGGGGAUCUGAGAGGAUGACCCCCCACACUGGUACUGAGACACGGACCAGACUCCUACGGGAGGCAGCAGUAAGGAAUAUCGGUCAAUGGAGGCAACUCUGAACCAGCCAUGCCGCGUGCAGGAAGACGGCCCUAUGGGUUGUAAACUGCUUUUAUACGGGAAUAAACCCCUUUACGUGUAAAGGGUUGAAUGUACUGUAAGAAUAAGGAUCGGCUAACUCCGUGCCAGCAGCCGCGGUAAUACGGAGGAUCCAAGCGUUAUCCGGAUUUAUUGGGUUUAAAGGGUGCGUAG
Molecule: ribosomal RNA, 468 nt
Filed under: uncultured Pedobacter sp.
Lineage: Bacteria; Pseudomonadati; Bacteroidota; Sphingobacteriia; Sphingobacteriales; Sphingobacteriaceae
Description: bacterial SSU rRNA
Rfam family: Bacterial small subunit ribosomal RNA
Source: RNAcentral